UAGAGCGCGCCUGUAAGCUCCAGCAGGCCUUCACCUAAUUCCAAGAGCUGCUCUCUCGGAAUCGCGCGUUGUUCUCGACUAAUUCACGGAACCAGUUUUCGUUCGCAUUCCGACAGGUUUCGUGGGGCUCGAAAAAGAAGUUUGAAAAAUAUACGAUGAUCUUUCGUUGCCAUCGCGUUCGGUAACGUUCGCCUGUCGGGGUGGGUACGCGUUGGAAAAAUGAUGCAAUUCGAUAGUGGAAUUUGGACAUUCGAAGAAUCCUUAAUCUGACCCGAAUGGGAACGAUCGUAGAAAAAAUUCGACGAACCGAGGCCUGAGAAAUGUCCGGGCGACGCCAGGAAUCACAUCACGUUACAGUUGCAUCCUAGAAGAAUAGCUGACAGAUGGCGUCCAAAUAUGCAAAAUGUUACGCGUACGUUUACCGUCUUCCGAACGAGAAUUCCGAAAGAUCGAAUGGCAGCGAAGAUUAGAUUUGAAUUUGACCCCGCCUCGAAAGGAACGCGUUUUUGCAACGAACGAGUAACUCCUCGUCCGAAAUCGUCCCAGCGAGAAGCAACGAUCGGCGAAUAACGCCGAACGCGUGUUCUUUCCAUCUUCUUUUUUCGUAUCCGGUUCCUCGUUGCAGCUUCAGGGCCUGAAUAAUUCAUCGAUUUCCGUCGAAGAAUCCGCGUAGGACGCUCGAGCGAGGAAAACGAGGAAAUAAAGGGGUUUACGCGAACACAGGUUCGCAUUUGAAAGGUGUCGGCGAAACUGCAUAUAAUGGCAAUGAUCCACAAGCGUUAUCUUGCAAACGAUAAACGAAGAUGUUAUCGACGAGCAGAGAGCUGAAUGAAAUGCAAUCUGAAUUUCCCCAUUCGCGUCGAGUGCGGAUUCGCAAUUGCUCUGUCUUUCGUUUCGGUGCACGGAAUUGAGCCGACACCGCGACAACAUUGAAAUACGCGGAAGGAAAGAAGAAAAUAUAAAGCUUUUAAUAUCAUCGAUCUACGUAAAUGGAAAUCGACGUGGAAAUCCUGUUACGAAGUUGUAUUUCCUGCUCCGUCUGAACCGUCUGAA
Non-coding RNA from Nomia melanderi (Alkali bee), 1053 nucleotides. Lineage: Eukaryota; Metazoa; Arthropoda; Insecta; Hymenoptera; Halictidae. The record is from RefSeq and is a predicted model, not a curated record.